GGGUGCCGUCUGUCUGCCUGUCCGUGUCGUGGGUGCCGUCUGUCUGUCUGUCCGUGUCGUGGGUGCCGCCUAUCUGUCCGCGUCGUGGGUGCCGUCUGUCUCAGAGCUCACAGGUCUCGGAAUAGUCGGUGAUCCCGACGACGACAAGAAGAGCUCGGGGGGUCGGGCGGGGGCGCAGCGGGUUAAGCGCAGGUGGCACAAAGCACAAGGACCGGUGUGAGGAUCCUGGUUCGAGCCCCCGGCUCCCCACCUGCAGGGGAGUCGCUUCACAGGCGGUGAAGCAGGUCUGCAGGUGUCUGUCUUUCUCUCCCCCUCUCUGUCUUCCCCUCCUCUCUCCAUUUCUCUCUGUCCUAGCCAACAACAACA
Molecule: long non-coding RNA, 366 nt
Organism: Erinaceus europaeus (western European hedgehog)
Lineage: Eukaryota; Metazoa; Chordata; Mammalia; Eulipotyphla; Erinaceidae
Exons: 3
Source: RefSeq, a predicted model, not a curated record